GACGAACGCUGGCGGCGUGCUUAACACAUGCAAGUCGAACGGAAAGGCCUAGCUUGCUGGGUACUCGAGUGGCGAACGGGUGAGUAACACGUGGGUGAUCUGCCCCUGACUUUGGGAUAAGCCUGGGAAACUGGGUCUAAUACCGGAUAUUCAUUUUUCCUCGCAUGGGGAUUUGUGGAAAGCUUUUGCGGUUGGGGAUGGGCCCGCGGCCUAUCAGCUUGUUGGUGGGGUAAUGGCCUACCAAGGCGACGACGGGUAGCCGACAUGAGAGGGUGAUCGGCCACACUGGGACUGAGACACGGCCCAGAAUCCUACGGGAGGCAGCAGUGGGGAAUAUUGCACAAUGGGCGCAAGCCUGAUGCAGCGACGCCGCGUGAGGGAUGACGGCCUUCGGGUUGUAAACCUCUUUCAGCUCAGACGAAGCGCAAGUGACGGUAGGAGCAGAAGAAGCACCGGCCAACUACGUG
This 467-nucleotide ribosomal RNA is filed under the name uncultured bacterium. Its description in RNAcentral is "partial 16S ribosomal RNA". It matches the Rfam family "Bacterial small subunit ribosomal RNA", at positions 28 to 507 of the family's 1533-position model. The record is from RNAcentral.